RNAcentral lists this ribosomal RNA (253 nucleotides) under uncultured bacterium. RNAcentral's name for it is "partial 16S ribosomal RNA". It matches the Rfam family "Bacterial small subunit ribosomal RNA", at positions 524 to 776 of the family's 1533-position model. The record is from RNAcentral.
UACGAAGGGGGCGAGCGUUGUUCGGAUUUACUGGGCGUAAAGGGCGCGCAGGCGGUUCUGUUUGUCGAGGGUGAAAGCCCCCGGCUCAACUGGGGAGGGUCACGCGAUACUGAUCGACUCGAAGGCAGGAGAGGGAAGUGGAAUUCCCGGUGUAGUGGUGAAAUGCGUAGAUAUCGGGAGGAACACCAGUGGCGAAGGCGACUUCCUGGCCUGUUCUUGACGCUGAGGCGCGAAAGCUAGGGGAGCAAACGGG